GAUGAACGCUGGCGGCGUGCCUAAUACACGCAAGUCGAGCGAAUGGAUUAAGAGCUUGCUCUUAUGAAGUUAGCGGCGGACGGGUGAGUAACACGUGGGUAACCUACCCAUAAGACUGGGAUAACUCCGGGAAACCGGGGCUAAUACCGGAUAACAUUUUGAACCGCAUGGUUCGAACUUGAAAGGCGGCUUCGGCUGUCACUUAUGGAUGGACCCGCGUCGCGGUAGCCAGUUGGUGAGGUAACGGCUCACCAAGGCAACGAUGCGUAGCCGACCUGGGAGGGUGAUCGGCCACACUGGGACUGAGACACGGCCCAGACUCCUACGGGAGGCAGCAGUAGGGAAUCUUCCGCAAUGGACGAAAGUCUGACGGAGCAACGCCGCGUGAGUGAUGAAGGCUUUCGGGUCGUAAAACUCUGUUGUUAGGGAAGAACAAGUGCUAGUUGAAUAAGCUGGCACCUUGACGGUACCUAACCAGAAAGCCACGGCUAACUACGUGCCAGCCGCCGCGGUAA
RNAcentral lists this ribosomal RNA (515 nucleotides) under uncultured bacterium. RNAcentral describes it as "partial 16S ribosomal RNA". It matches the Rfam family "Bacterial small subunit ribosomal RNA", at positions 28 to 523 of the family's 1533-position model. The record is from RNAcentral.